UGUAAGUUUUCACUUUGCUUGUUGAAUUUGUUAGUAAUGGAGCUAUGAAUUUAUGAGAUUCAUCGCGUUUAGUUUGUUUGAAAAUCGAGUUUUGAAUAAUGUAUACCUUGUUGCAAAUUUUUAUUGAUAUCCUUUGAUUCUAAUCAAGUUAUAACUUAAUCUGUUCUUUAGGGUUGAUUCUUCAGGAAGUUAAAGAUUGAAUCUUUUCUUGGACUAUGUGCUCUUUCAGAGAAACUUAAGAUGUUGAUUGUCAUUCUCAUUCCCUUCAAACUUGGAGUUGUCUACUUUUUAUGUUCCUCGUUUCACUUCUUCUUGGUUGGUUUAAGGUUAAAGUUUUCUUUUUACCAAAAAAA
Long non-coding RNA from Brassica rapa (field mustard), 353 nucleotides. RefSeq lists it as uncharacterized. The record is from RefSeq and is a predicted model, not a curated record. Lineage: Eukaryota; Viridiplantae; Streptophyta; Magnoliopsida; Brassicales; Brassicaceae.